RNAcentral lists this ribosomal RNA (253 nucleotides) under uncultured bacterium. Its description in RNAcentral is "partial 16S ribosomal RNA". It matches the Rfam family "Bacterial small subunit ribosomal RNA", at positions 524 to 776 of the family's 1533-position model. The record is from RNAcentral.
UACGAAGGGGGCUAGCGUUGUUCGGAAUCACUGGGCGUAAAGCGCACGCAGGCGGAUUGAUAAGUCGGGGGUGAAAUCCCGGGGCUCAACCUCGGAAUUGCCUUCGAUACUGUCUGUCUUGAGUCCGGGAGAGGUGAGUGGAAUUCCUAGUGUAGCGGUGAAAUGCGCAGAUAUCAGGAGGAACACCAGCGGCGAAGGCGGCGCUCUGGGCCGGAACUGACGCUGAGGAGCGAAAGCGUGGGUAGCAAACAGG